This is a long non-coding RNA of Cervus elaphus (red deer), 182 nucleotides long. RefSeq lists it as uncharacterized. Lineage: Eukaryota; Metazoa; Chordata; Mammalia; Artiodactyla; Cervidae. The transcript has 3 exons. The record is from RefSeq and is a predicted model, not a curated record.
CUGAGGAAACCAGAUCUGAAAGAGACACAUGGAUUCCAUUGUUCAUUGUAGCCCUAUUUACAAUGGCUAGAACAUGGAAGGAACCUAGAUGUCCAUCAACAGAUGAAUGGAAGUUGUGGUAUAUAUACACAAUGGAAUAUUACUCAGCCAUAAAAAGGGAUGCCUUUGAGUCAGUUCUAAUG